Non-coding RNA from Schistosoma margrebowiei, 108 nucleotides. The record is from Rfam. NCBI's taxonomy places the organism in Eukaryota, Metazoa, Platyhelminthes, Trematoda, Strigeidida, Schistosomatidae.
GUACUCUCUUCGGUGGUACAUAUACUAAAUUCGGAACGAUACAGAAAAGAUUAUCAUUGGCUCCUGAGCAAGGAUGACACGCAGAAUCGUGAAGCGUUCCAUAUUUUC